RNAcentral lists this ribosomal RNA (294 nucleotides) under Triticum aestivum (bread wheat). RNAcentral describes it as "partial small subunit ribosomal RNA". The record is from RNAcentral. Lineage: Eukaryota; Viridiplantae; Streptophyta; Magnoliopsida; Poales; Poaceae.
AUGGUCCGCGGAAAGGCCGUGAUCGAGAAGAUCGAAAACCAGACAAGCCGACAGGUGACCUUCUCCAAGAGGAAGAGCGGAUUGUUCAAGAAGGGCAAGGAACUGGGCGUUCUCUGUGAUGCCCAGGUAGGGAUCUUCAUCUUCUCCAACACCGGACGCCUCUAUGAGUACUCCAAUUCCGGGUAUGUGCACAUAUCUGCUUUCUCUUGUUCUCGCAUAUGGAUUGAUAAUUAUUCUGUGAAUCUAAUAGCAACAUACAGAUAUUUUUUCAAUUCAUGUAUUCAAUCCGUUUAA